RNAcentral lists this ribosomal RNA (432 nucleotides) under uncultured bacterium. Its description in RNAcentral is "partial 16S ribosomal RNA". It matches the Rfam family "Bacterial small subunit ribosomal RNA", at positions 29 to 506 of the family's 1533-position model. The record is from RNAcentral.
AACGAACGCUGGCGGCAUGCCUAACACAUGCAAGUCGAACGAGACCUUCGGGUCUAGUGGCGCACGGGUGCGUAACACGUGGGAAUCUGCCCUUUGCUUCGGAAUAACAGUUAGAAAUGACUGCUAAUACCGGAUGAUUUCGAAAGACCAAAGAUUUAUCGGCAAAGGAUGAGCCCGCGUAGGAUUAGGUAGUUGGUGGGGUAAAGGCCUACCAAGCCGACGAUCCUUAGCUGGUCUGAGAGGAUGAUCAGCCACACUGGGACUGAGACACGGCCCAGACUCCUACGGGAGGCAGCAGUGGGGAAUAUUGGACAAUGGGCGAAAGCCUGAUCCAGCAAUGCCGCGUGAGUGAUGAAGGCCUUAGGGUUGUAAAGCUCUUUUACCAGGGAUGAUAAUGACAGUACCGGGAGAAUAAGCUCCGGCUAACUCCGU